This 518-nucleotide ribosomal RNA is filed under the name Leptodactylus natalensis. RNAcentral's name for it is "partial 16S ribosomal RNA". It matches the Rfam family "Bacterial large subunit ribosomal RNA", at positions 1922 to 2596 of the family's 2925-position model. Lineage: Eukaryota; Metazoa; Chordata; Amphibia; Anura; Leptodactylidae. The record is from RNAcentral.
GUUCAACGGCCGCGGUAUCCUAACCGUGCGAAGGUAGCGUAAUCACUUGUUCUUUAAAUGAGGACUAGUAUGAACGGCAUCACGAGGGUUAUACUGUCUCCUCCCUUUAAUCAGUGAAACUGAUCUUCCCGUGAAGAAGCGGGAAUAAAUCUAUAAGACGAGAAGACCCUAUGGAGCUUUAAACACACUACAAUUGCCUCACUCAUGUUAAUCUCUGGAAAACCACUUAUCCGGGCAUUUUGAUAGCAAGUUUUAGGUUGGGGUGACCGCGGAGCAAAAAACAACCUCCACAGCGAACAGGACUCUCCCUUAAGCUCAGGAUUACAACCCUAAGAAUCAAUAAAUUGACACCCAUUGACCCAAUUUCUUGACCAACGGACCAAGUUACCCUAGGGAUAACAGCGCAAUCUACUUCAAGAGCUCCUAUCGACAAGUGGGUUUACGACCUCGAUGUUGGAUCAGGGUAUCCCAGUGGUGCAGCCGCUGCUAACGGUUCGUUUGUUCAACGAUUAAAACCC